Long non-coding RNA from Chelonia mydas (Green sea turtle), 480 nucleotides. RefSeq lists it as uncharacterized. Lineage: Eukaryota; Metazoa; Chordata; Testudines; Cheloniidae. The transcript has 4 exons. The record is from RefSeq and is a predicted model, not a curated record.
AGGGCCACGCCCCCUGCUGUCCCGGGCCACUCACAACGCGGAGUGAGGACACGUUGGGGGGAGGAUGUACUGUCUGCAAAAUGGCUGAUCCUCAGAGCACGUCAUCCUGCCAGGCACAGAUGAAGAGUGUUGCACAUAAAUUAAACAUCUAUGCAACACAAGGCAUGCAUGGCAAUCCAGUCCACAUGAAUGAGAGCAUUGAUCACCAGGUUACUCCUGCUGAGUAGCAGAAAUGAGGCCUAGGAGGACAGCCUAUACAGUGCCUCAGUAUAGACAAAGAUGAUGCUUAAGUCUAUGUCUACUCUCAUUCUCUCCGGACACCCUACCCCCUUUUACCCGGCACGCUUGCAAAUAUGGGAGUGGAAGAGGCUGCUUCUCAGUGAUGUGUGAGGAAAUUUCUCUCUCUAGUUUAUAAAUUGCUUUGGGAGCCUUCUAGAUGGACAGAGUCACUGCUUCCCAGGAUAGAAUUCCCCAUCACAU